GCUCUAGCUCAGUUGGUUAGAGUGUGGUGCUAAUAAUGCCAAGGUUACAGGUUCGAUCCCUGUAUGGGACA
Podarcis lilfordi (Lilford's wall lizard) is the source of this 71-nucleotide non-coding RNA. The record is from the annotation of a GenBank genome assembly. Lineage: Eukaryota; Metazoa; Chordata; Lepidosauria; Squamata; Lacertidae.